CGAUUCCUCCUCCACCCCUGCGGAGGGAUCAUUACUGAGGGUACGCUCUCCAACCCUCUGUGUACAUCCCUAUAAAUGUUGGUGGGGCGGGUAGGAUAUCCGUGACCCUCCCGCCCCCCCGCCCCCGGGCGGGUCGGCGCCCGCCGGACGAUAACCAAACUCUGAUCUAACGACGUUUCUUCUGAGUGGUACAAGCAAAUAAUCAAAACUUUUAACAACGGAUCUCUUGGUUCUGGCAUCGAUGAAGAACGCAGCGAAAUGCGAUAAGUAAUGUGAAUUGCAGAAUUCAGUGAAUCAUCGAAUCUUUGAACGCACAUUGCGCCCGCCAGCAUUCUGGCGGGCAUGCCUGUUCGAGCGUCAUUUCAACCCUCAAGCUCUGCUUGGUGUUGGGGCCCUACAGCUGAUGUAGGCCCUCAAAGGUAGUGGCGGACCCUCCCGGAGCCUCCUUUGCGUAGUAACUUUACGUCUCGCACUGGGAUCCGGAGGGACUCUUGCCGUAAAACCCCCCAAUUUUCCAAAGGUGACGCUCGGAUCAGGUAGGAAUACCCGCUGAAGCUAAG
Molecule: ribosomal RNA, 560 nt
Filed under: Colletotrichum gloeosporioides
Lineage: Eukaryota; Fungi; Ascomycota; Sordariomycetes; Glomerellales; Glomerellaceae
Description: eukaryotic LSU rRNA
Rfam family: 5.8S ribosomal RNA (bases 207-360)
Source: RNAcentral